GUUAAUUCUUGUAAUGACCUGCACAUAAUUCAACAAAAUAUCAAAUUGCGAUGACAUUUUUGAAAAUGCCAACAAAAAUAUCCCACUUAUGAGCCAUUUCCAAAUUUUGGCAUAAUCUCAAUAAAUUUCAACUGCAUUCUCAAUUCUCAGUGUGCACAUGAACCACUAUUCUACUUCAUUGCUGCAUGGUGCUUCUGCCUUGACAAGUUCAAUAAAAGAACACCUUGAGGAACAAAGAGGUCAGUAAAACUUCAGUUUUAAAAUAACAUGUCAUGGUGGAAAUUGUUUGCCAAGGGGAAACAAAUAUUAUUGCCUAACUACAAUAAAUGAAAUCUGUCUCAUUCUCAUCUUUGGAGUUUGGAGCAAAAAGGACUCUGCAGAUGAUGAAAAAAAGAAUUCAAAUGAUAUAGAGUCUCUCUAGUUGCCAAAAGUGAAACUGGUAAACAUCCUUAUUUUCUCAACUAGAGAGACUCU
Molecule: unclassified non-coding RNA, 474 nt
Filed under: Hevea brasiliensis (rubber tree)
Lineage: Eukaryota; Viridiplantae; Streptophyta; Magnoliopsida; Malpighiales; Euphorbiaceae
Source: RNAcentral